ACAGGUGCUGCAUGGCUGUCGUCAGCUCGUGUUGUGAAAUGUUGGGUUAAGUCCCGCAACGAGCGCAACCCUUAUCCUUUGUUGCCAGCGGUCCGGCCGGGAACUCAAAGGAGACUGCCAGUGAUAAACUGGAGGAAGGUGGGGAUGACGUCAAGUCAUCAUGGCCCUUACGACCAGGGCUACACACGUGCUACAAUGGCGCAUACAAAGAGAAGCGACCUCGCGAGAGCAAGCGGACCUCAUAAAGUGCGUCGUAGUCCGGAUUGGAGUCUGCAACUCGACUCCAUGAAGUCGGAAUCGCUAGUAAUCGUGGAUCAGAAUGCCACGGUGAAUACGUUCCCGGGCCUUGUACACACCGCCCGUCACACCAUGGGAGUGGGUUGCAAAAGAAGUAGGUAGCUUAACCUUCGGGAGGGCGCUUACCACUUUGUGAUUCAUGACUGGGGUGAAGUCGUAACAAGGUAACCGUAGGGGAACCUGCGGUUGGAUCACCUCCUUACUUUAAAGAAGC
This 511-nucleotide ribosomal RNA is filed under the name Escherichia coli. RNAcentral describes it as "bacterial SSU rRNA". It matches the Rfam family "Bacterial small subunit ribosomal RNA", at positions 1034 to 1533 of the family's 1533-position model. Lineage: Bacteria; Pseudomonadati; Pseudomonadota; Gammaproteobacteria; Enterobacterales; Enterobacteriaceae. The record is from RNAcentral.